CGACAGCAUUGUCAAAAAUGACGGCCUUAUACAGAGAGGGUGUGCAGACAGGUGCUUCAUCAUUCUCAUCUUCGAUGUCAACAGUGACCUGUCAGCCAUGGGGGAAGAAGAAACAUCACAUCCACGUCAUAGGAUUAUUUAUACACAAACUCACAACAAUCAAGAUCAUUUUCUUAAAGACAAUGAAUCAAGCCCUGAUAUGCAGUGUUUGCUGAUUUCCGUGGUGUAAAUACUCCCACCAUUUUCACCAAGAAGUUGGAAAGAGAAAAGCAGCAAGCACACCGUUAUCUAUAUGGAAUCUCACCACGCGGAUCCAAGAGAUGUAAAUAACCUCAAAGGCACAGUACGAUUCAACUCCAGCCCCACAGCUGGUUCGAUGGGUCCCUUGAAGUAUUCAAGUCAAGCCUGAAGGAGAUGCUGAGAGAGGGAUGUGUUCCUCUCUUGGAUACAGAAGAUACAGGUAUUAUUUCUGCUGUCUCUUUCAAAUCUAAUGUUGCUUGCUCUGUGCUAACAAACAGGUCCUACUUCAUAUGCGAUUCAAGGUUGAGAUAGGACCCUGACCAAGAUCCUGACUCUACACCCAAAAUCUUGACCCCAGAUGUUUGUAGGAUUAAAUUGCACUGGCAAUGACCAUAUCAACUCCUACUUUCUUCACACUUAGACCUAGUUUGGGGGCAAGGUGGAAGAGAAAUGGAAUAAAAUUAAUACUGUGUGUUCUUCCAUCACAAAAGUCCCAGGCCUGACAUCAAAGUUCCAGGGAGCCUUUGGGAACAGUCAGGCUGGCAGACUGAGGCCAAUGCCAAUGAAAAGUGACUUGUUCUCCGAACGUCUGGAGCUCCUCGGUGCUCCUCAUUUGCUUGUAUUUUGCAAACUCGCGUGCUUUUUUCCCACUGGCCACUCAUGUUCUAACACCCUAGCUGUG
This is a non-coding RNA of Microcebus murinus (gray mouse lemur), 922 nucleotides long. The record is from RefSeq and is a predicted model, not a curated record. NCBI's taxonomy places the organism in Eukaryota, Metazoa, Chordata, Mammalia, Primates, Cheirogaleidae.